GCGCUGGCCUCAAGCCGGGCGGCAGGGAGCAGGCAAGCGCUUAACCCUGGCCGGCCGGGAGCCCCAGACACCACCUGCCUCCUCGUCGACUCGGGAGCUCCUCUUCGGACCGUUUCCUGAACUUUAAUGACGGGCAAUUAGCGCGGUCCUACAAAUUUCUAGUAGAGAAAGCUUCAUUUGACAAUGAAGCAGAGCUGCACCUGGGAAGCACAGAUGAAGGUCUAGGUGCCCCUUCGUUUCUGAAUUGGAGAAAGUGUAGUGAGGAAGGGCCUCAGUGAGAAGAAUGACAUUUGCACAAAGGCUUGAAGGACAGGAGACAGCAAAUCGUGUGGACACCAGGGGAAGCAUGUUCUAGGCAGAGGAAAAGAAAAACUACAUGGAAUGAGGAAAUAGACCACUCCUGCCUUCAAAAUCCUCUUCGUGAGGUUUAUAGAAUUCCUAAGAACUCAGGAAAGACAUCAGCAGAGAGCAAUGAUCGUCAUAGCCAGGUGCACUGUCACCUCCAUUCAUACAGCACUGACUUUGCCCUUUCAGUCCCAUGGGGUUUACAGAUCUGUUCUCCUAACAGCUUCUUGCCUAUUUCACAAUGCCUAUUGCAAAACUAGCUCCACACAGAAUGCACCCACCCAGCUACUUGUCGAAUUACAACCUGAUGAUGGAUCCACCAGAAACUAAGAAUGGAAAGGUUAUAAAGAAAUCACAGCAGCCCUGCCACAUGGCAUUCAGCCUCUGCC
Molecule: long non-coding RNA, 734 nt
Filed under: Homo sapiens (human)
Lineage: Eukaryota; Metazoa; Chordata; Mammalia; Primates; Hominidae
Description: long non-coding RNA NONHSAT150353.1
Source: RNAcentral